GAUGAACGCUGGCGGCGUGCCUAAUACAUGCAAGUCGAGCGAACGGACGAGAAGCUUGCUUCUCUGAUGUUAGCGGCGGACGGGUGAGUAACACGUGGAUAACCUACCUAUAAGACUGGGAUAACUUCGGGAAACCGUAGCUAAUACCGGUUAAUAUUUUGAACCGCAUGGUUCAAAAGUGAAAGACGGUCUUGCUGUCACUUAUAGAUGGAUCCGCGCUGCAUUAGCUAGUUGGUAAGGUAACGGCUUACCAAGGCAACGAUGCAUAGCCGACCUGAGAGGGUGAUCGGCCACACUGGAACUGAGACACGGUCCAGACUCCGACGGGAGGCAGCAGUAGGGAAUCUUCCGCAAAGGGCGAAAGCCUGACGGAGCAACGCCGCGUGAGUGAUGAAGGUCUUCGGAUCGUAAAACUCUGUUAUUAGGGAAGAACAUAUGUGUAAGUAACUGUGCACAUCUUGACGGUACCUAAUCAGAAAGCCACGGCUAACUACGUG
Molecule: ribosomal RNA, 497 nt
Filed under: uncultured bacterium
Lineage: Bacteria
Description: partial 16S ribosomal RNA
Rfam family: Bacterial small subunit ribosomal RNA
Source: RNAcentral